RNAcentral lists this unclassified non-coding RNA (348 nucleotides) under soil metagenome. RNAcentral describes it as "partial contains 5.8S ribosomal RNA, internal transcribed spacer 2, and large subunit ribosomal RNA". The stretch from base 1 to 120 matches the Rfam family "5.8S ribosomal RNA", at positions 35 to 154 of the family's 154-position model. The record is from RNAcentral.
GAUGAAGAACGUAGCGAAAUGCGAUAACUAAUGUGAAUUGCAGAAUUCCGUGAAUCAUCGAGUCUUUGAACGCACAUUGCGCCCGCCAGUAUUCUGGCGGGCAUGCCUGUCUGAGCGUCAUUUCAACCCUCAUGCCCCUAGGGCGUGGUGUUGGGGAUCGGCCAAAGCCCGCGAGGGACGGCCGGCCCCUAAAUCUAGUGGCGGACCCGUCGUGGCCUCCUCUGCGAAGUAGUGAUAUUCCGCAUCGGAGAGCGACGAGCCCCUGCCGUUAAACCCCCAACUUUCCAAGGUUGACCUCAGAUCAGGUAGGAAUACCCGCUGAACUUAAGCAUAUCAAUAAGCGGAGGA